CAGUAGUGUUUACGUACAGUGGCACCGAGUCAUCUGUCAUAGCUCUGCCUAUCUAUCUCUCUGUCAUUUAUAUUUGUACCUAUAUACUUAUCAUCUACUGUCUAUCUUUAUAUCUAUCCAUCAUCUAUUGUGUGCACACAUAGCUCAUGUGUGGAGGUCAGAGGGCAACUUGCAGAUUCAGUUCUCUCUAGCACGUAGAGACUGAAGAUCAACCUCUGGCCAUCAGGCUUGGUGAGAAGUGCUUUCCCCAGUGAUCAACCCCUCCAGCCCAAGAAGCAAAGGCCUCUGCACCCCAGGGUCCAGGGACGUACUGGGACAGACUAAUGACGGGAGCCAUCCCUGUAAGCUUGCUGUUCACCACGCUGAAGGAUCCUGGGGUCUCCCUCUGCAGCCAUAGUGACCUCCAGCCAUCAGCUUGUCAUCCAUCGGGACACCACCUCCAGCAGCCAUGGAGGACCCUGCAGACACCUCACUGGCUUCUUGGUCCUUCCUUUGGGUCCAUGGCCAGUGCUGCAGCUGCACAGAGUGCAAGGUUCUUUGUUUUGUUUUAAACAACUAUGAAAGCUGCUACUGUAGGUUGCAGACAGACGGUGCAUUUAAUUUUUUUUUUUUCCUUGCAGCCUAGAGUUCUUCCCAGCCUCAGAUGAUAGGCUGUGUUCCUUUUGAAAUUCCGGGCCAGUUGGGAGAACAGAUUGCACAAGAGAGGAGGUCCUUCUGGUCCUUGUAGAUCUUAAGAUAGAGCAACCAAAAAAACAACCCCAGAGUGAAAACAAGAAGCGAAAGCUGAGAGGAUACGCUUUUCAGUUGAUCUGUUUUACUAUUCCUCCCUCGUCAACUUCACAAAUGUUCCUUGAGCUUCGUGUGGGACCAGCACUCUGUGCUGGCGCUGGGGAUGCGGCAGGCAAGGAGGUCUCCAAGCUGGCAGACACAGCUUGGGAGAUGAGAGGGAUAAUGAUGACAAAAGACGUCCAUGCCCUAAUCUUGGGACCUGUGAACCUGUUUGGUGCCUGGCGCCCAAAGUCUCACACGGGUUCGGCAUUAGAUAAACCAUUGAGCUGUAUUCCCGACUCGGGUGAAGGUUUUUCAGAUAUGAUAUUUUUCUCCAUUAUCUGAGUGAGUCUGAUAUAAUCACUGUUUUUUUUUUGUUUUUUUUUUUAAUAAGGAGCUCAAAGGGUUGGGGAUAAGGCUCAGUAGAUAAACAUGGUGGGUGCUUGUACACACAUGAACACAUGUGCACCCCUCCCACAAGAGGCUCAGCAAGUAAAGCAUGAUCUUGAGGUGGCUUGGGGGUAACAAUGCAUGCAGCAAGCCUGGUGUCCUGAGUUCCUCACACACAGGGUGAAAGUCAAGAUCUGACUCCUGCAAGUGUUCUUGGGACCCAGCACAAGCUCCCACACUCAGUCUUACAUACACAGCAAGUAAGUAAGUAAAUACGAAACAC
This is a long non-coding RNA of Mus musculus (house mouse), 1441 nucleotides long. RefSeq annotates it as predicted gene, 53950. NCBI's taxonomy places the organism in Eukaryota, Metazoa, Chordata, Mammalia, Rodentia, Muridae. The transcript has 3 exons. The record is from RefSeq and is a predicted model, not a curated record.